Molecule: ribosomal RNA, 330 nt
Filed under: uncultured eukaryote
Lineage: Eukaryota
Description: partial 18S ribosomal RNA
Rfam family: Eukaryotic small subunit ribosomal RNA
Source: RNAcentral
ACCCUUAGAUGUUCUGGGCCGCACGCGCGCUACACUGACAGAGCCAGCGAGUUUUUUUCCUUGGCCGGAAGGUCUGGGUAAUCUUGUGAAACUCUGUCGUGCUGGGGAUAGAGCAUUGCAAUUAUUGCUCUUCAACGAGGAAUACCUAGUAAGCGUGAGUCAUCAGCUCGCGUUGAUUACGUCCCUGCCCUUUGUACACACCGCCCGUCGCUACUACCGAUUGAAUGGCUUAGUGAGGUCUUGGGAUUGGCUUCGAGGAACCGGCAACGGUACCUUGUUGCCGAGAACUUGAUCAAACUUGGUCAUUUAGAGGAAGUAAAAGUCGUAACA